RNAcentral lists this ribosomal RNA (602 nucleotides) under uncultured Thiobacillus sp. Its description in RNAcentral is "bacterial SSU rRNA". It matches the Rfam family "Bacterial small subunit ribosomal RNA", at positions 122 to 719 of the family's 1533-position model. The record is from RNAcentral. Lineage: Bacteria; Pseudomonadati; Pseudomonadota; Betaproteobacteria; Nitrosomonadales; Thiobacillaceae.
GAACGUGCCGAGUAAUGGGGGUUAACGCAGCGAAAGUUGUGCUAAUACCGCAUACGCCCUGAGGGGGAAAGUGGGGGAUCGCAAGACCUCACGUUAUUCGAGCGGCCGACGUCUGAUUAGCUAGUUGGUGGGGUAAAGGCCUACCAAGGCGACGAUCAGUAGCGGGUCUGAGAGGAUGAUCCGCCACACUGGGACUGAGACACGGCCCAGACUCCUACGGGAGGCAGCAGUGGGGAAUUUUGGACAAUGGGGGCAACCCUGAUCCAGCCAUUCCGCGUGAGUGAAGAAGGCCUUCGGGUUGUAAAGCUCUUUCAGCUGGAGUGAAACGGUGCGCUCUAACAUAGCGCGCUAAUGACGGUACCAGCAGAAGAAGCACCGGCUAACUACGUGCCAGCAGCCGCGGUAAUACGUAGGGUGCGAGCGUUAAUCGGAAUUACUGGGCGUAAAGCGUGCGCAGGCGGAUUGUUAAGCAAGAUGUGAAAUCCCCGGGCUUAACCUGGGAAUGGCAUUUUGAACUGGCAGUCUAGAGUGCGUCAGAGGGGGGUGGAAUUCCACGUGUAGCAGUGAAAUGCGUAGAGAUGUGGAGGAACACCGAUGGCGAA